RNAcentral lists this ribosomal RNA (253 nucleotides) under uncultured bacterium. Its description in RNAcentral is "partial 16S ribosomal RNA". It matches the Rfam family "Bacterial small subunit ribosomal RNA", at positions 524 to 776 of the family's 1533-position model. The record is from RNAcentral.
UACGAAGGUUGCAAGCGUUGUUCGGCAUCACUGGGCUUAAAGCGUAUGUAGGCGGAUGAGUAAGCGUUUUGUGAAAUACCCCGGCUUAACCGGGGAAUUGCUUGGCGAACUGCUCAUCUUGAGGCAAGCAGGGGUGCAUGGAACUCUUGGUGGAGCGGUGGAAUGCGUAGAUAUCAAGAGGAACGCCGGCGGCGAAAGCGGUGCACUGGGCUUGUUCUGACGCUCAGAUACGAAAGCGCGGGGAGCAAACGGG